RNAcentral lists this unclassified non-coding RNA (232 nucleotides) under Hevea brasiliensis (rubber tree). Lineage: Eukaryota; Viridiplantae; Streptophyta; Magnoliopsida; Malpighiales; Euphorbiaceae. The record is from RNAcentral.
GGAGCAUCAUCACCAGCAAACCCAGCCUUAACCAUUCCAGUUCCAUUGUCACAGACGAGGGGCUGAAUAUCCUCUGCAUCGGCCAUUUUCUAAGAACCUUUGAAAUUGAAGGAUCGAAGUGAAGCAGAAAGACGGAAACCAACCAAGCCAACCCUACUGAGAUGGCCUGGACUCUUUCUCUCUCCGCACAGAGACUCUUUGGCUUUGGAAGAAGUAGAGACGAGAUGCAGAA